RNAcentral lists this unclassified non-coding RNA (242 nucleotides) under uncultured Chloromonas. Its description in RNAcentral is "partial contains ITS2 and 28S rRNA". The record is from RNAcentral. Lineage: Eukaryota; Viridiplantae; Chlorophyta; Chlorophyceae; Chlamydomonadales; Chlamydomonadaceae.
GGUCAUAUCCACCCCUCUCACUCCAUUUAUUUGUGUGUGAGGCGUGUGUGUGGGGAUAAAUCGCAGUCUCGCCCCGUCAAACGGACGAGUCUGCCGAAGUCAACAAGGUGCCUCAUAGUGUGGUGUUCGGCCUCUCGGGAUCGUUCAUCAUCUCAAGCCGCACUCGAAUACACAUCUCGUAUGUCUUUCGACCUCGACGUCUUGCACUCUGACGAUACGUGCUUAAAACCCACGUKCCCACU